Molecule: ribosomal RNA, 258 nt
Filed under: uncultured bacterium
Lineage: Bacteria
Description: partial 16S ribosomal RNA
Rfam family: Bacterial small subunit ribosomal RNA
Source: RNAcentral
UACGUAGGGUGCAAGCGUUGUCCGGAAUUAUUGGGCGUAAAGAGCUCGUAGGCGGUUUGUUGCGUCGGCUGUGAAAUCCCGAGGCUCAACCUCGGGUCUGCAGUCGAUACGAGCAAACUAGAGUGUUGCAGGGGGAGACUGGAAUUCCUGGUGUAGCGGUGAAAAUGCGCAGAUAUCAGGAGGAACACCGGUGGCGAAGGCGGGGUCUCUGGGGCAACAACUGACGCUGAGGAGCGAAAGCGUGGGGGAGCGAACAGG